This 354-nucleotide ribosomal RNA is filed under the name uncultured bacterium. Its description in RNAcentral is "partial 16S ribosomal RNA". It matches the Rfam family "Bacterial small subunit ribosomal RNA", at positions 355 to 725 of the family's 1533-position model. The record is from RNAcentral.
UGGGGGAUAUUGCACAAUGGAGGAAACUCUGAUGCAGCAACGCCGCGUGAAGGAUGAAGGUCUUCGGAUUGUAAACUUUUGUACUUGGGGACGAUAAUGACGGUACCCAAGCAGCAAGCUCCGGCUAACUACGUGCCAGCAGCCGCGGUAAUACGUAGGGAGCAAGCGUUGUCCGGAUUUACUGGGUGUAAAGGGUGCGUAGGCGGCUAUGCAAGUCAGUUGUGAAAACUAUGGGGCUCAACCCAUAGCCUGCAAUUGAAACUGCGUGGCUUGAGUGAAGUAGAGGUAGGUGGAAUUCCCGGUGUAGCGGUGAAAUGCGUAGAGAUCGGGAGGAACACCAGUGGCGAAGGCGAC